This is a small nucleolar RNA of Callithrix jacchus (white-tufted-ear marmoset), 97 nucleotides long. Its record names the gene SNORD116. It matches the Rfam family "Small nucleolar RNA SNORD116". Rfam says of the family: HBII-85 is a member of the C/D class of snoRNAs, which contain the C (UGAUGA) and D (CUGA) box motifs. HBII-85 is encoded in a tandemly repeated array with another C/D snoRNA, HBII-52, in the Prader-Willi syndrome (PWS) region of chromosome 15. Unlike most other snoRNAs, HBII-85 is expressed prevalently in the brain (but is absent in PWS patients) and lacks any significant complementarity with ribosomal RNA. Lineage: Eukaryota; Metazoa; Chordata; Mammalia; Primates; Cebidae. The record is from Ensembl.
GGAUCGAUGAUGAGUCAAAAAAAAAAAAACAUUCCUUGGAAAAGCUGAACAAAAUGAGUGAGAACUCAUACCGUCGCUGUCAUCGGAACUGAGGUCC